RNAcentral lists this ribosomal RNA (231 nucleotides) under uncultured bacterium. RNAcentral's name for it is "partial 16S ribosomal RNA". It matches the Rfam family "Bacterial small subunit ribosomal RNA", at positions 118 to 348 of the family's 1533-position model. The record is from RNAcentral.
UGAGCAAUCUGCCCUUCUCAUCGGAAUAAGCGUUGGAAACGACGUCUAAUGCCGAAUACGACCUCCUUUCGCAUGAUCGGAGGUGGAAAGCUCAGGCGGAGAAGGAUGAGCUCGCGGCCUAUCAGCUAGUUGGUGUGGGUAAUGGCCCACAAGGCGACGACGGGUAGCCGGCCUGAGAGGGUGACCGGCCACACGUGGGACUGAGACACGGCCCAGACCUCCGUAGGGACG